Molecule: long non-coding RNA, 1144 nt
Organism: Rattus norvegicus (Norway rat)
Lineage: Eukaryota; Metazoa; Chordata; Mammalia; Rodentia; Muridae
Source: Ensembl
CAACCACAGAAGACUCUGCAUCUUCUCUGUAUUUCUUGGACAUGAAUCAACUGGUUUUGUGGAGACAAUGGAGACUGUUGACUCAGAGCAUACGAGACUCAAGGCCAGUUAUACCACUGAAAAGUCUCAAUCCACAGUCAACCUUCCUUCUCUCGCAUAAUCUAAAUCCAGGAUACUGGAGUGGCGACUGGAAACUCAUGGCUCAAGGUGUCCUUGGAUGCAAUGUUUAGGUUCUUUGUGUCUUGAACAAUGAACUGGACAAGACUCACGCGCACAUACACACCAGCAGUCAUACCAAAAGUAAAGAUUACUGAAGGCGAGGAAGAAAGCAGAGUGCACGUGCCACAGGACAGGACCAGAGGUCCAGGAGGAAGGAUGUGGCUCGAACCUUGAGGUUGUCCCCCCAACCCCCUCCCACAGGAUAUCAGCAGUGACAUCUCAGGCCACUUGCGAACACCAUUCUUGAAUCAGCAAUGGCAACUCUAUUCAGAAGAGUCUUUCUGUUUAUGAAGUCACAACCAGGAAACAAUGACCAGUGAAGAAGGCAAGACAAACCAAUGCUACAGUGUCAUCAUCCAAGCCCAAUGAAGACCAGCAAAGCGUGUCAAGGAUCAGGGAACUGUGUGGAAGAGCAGAUGGAAAGACUCUACGAGCCAGAGAUGAUGUGACUCCAGAAACUGGUGUGUUCUAGGCAUAAGACUGAUGCGCACAUGAUUUUACAGAGAGACUUUUUGUGUACAAGGCCUGCACAGUUUGAAGCCAGACAGUGUCCCAGCACGGAGAGGAAAAAGUGGAUAAAGCCCCCCUGCCCUAACCAAGAAGCUGUCUGCAAUUGAAGACUAAAUGAGGUCUCAUGUAUCUGUGAAAGAACUGGCCCUUUGAAAGAUCCUGUGCAGUUAACAAAGAUGGCAGGAUCUAAAUUCAGUAAGAAGAAUUAUAAAGGAAACUUCAAAUACAAAACAGCAAGUCACAAAUGGAACCGUCUAGGUUACCUUCAAGUGGCAGCCCGACAAUGAUACAUUUUCCCCUUCUUGUGGAUCCAUGUCUGUGCAAACAUAAUAUAUUCUGUAGCAGAAUCUGGAGAGGAAACUACUGAUUCAGCACAAAUCCCACUUUCGGAAUCUGCAGAGAAGAGAAUUCACAG